ACUGCUCAGUAACACGUGGAUAACCUACCCUCAGGAGGGGGAUAACCCCGGGAAACUGGGGAUAAUACCCCAUAGAUCAGGGACGCUGGAAUGCCCCCUGAUUCAAAGGUCCGCCGCCUGAGGAUGGGUCUGCGGCCGAUUAGGUUGUUGUUGGGGUAACGGCCCAACAAGCCAUUGAUCGGUACGGGUUGUGAGAGCAAGAGCCCGGAGAUGGAUUCUGAGACACGAAUCCAGGCCCUACGGGGCGCAGCAGGCGCGAAAACUUUACAAUGCGAGAAAUCGUGAUAAGGGAACCCCGAGUGCCCGUAAAUUCGGGCUGUCCGCCAGUGUAAAUAACUGGUGAAGAAAGGGCCGGGCAAGACCGGUGCCAGCCGCCGCGGUAAUACCGGCGGCUCGAGUGGUGGCCACUAUUACUGGGCUUAAAGCGUCCGUAGCUGGAUUGUUAAGUCUCUUGGGAAAUCCACCGGCUCAACCGAUGGGCGUUCAGGAGAAACUGGCAAUCUAGGGACCGGGAGAGGUGAGAGGUACUCCAGGGGUAGGAGUGAAAUCCUGUAAUCCUUGGGGGACCACCUGUGGCGAAGGCGUCUCACUAGAACGGCUCCGACAGUGAGGGACGAAAGCUGGGGGAGCAAACCGGAUUAGAUACCCGGGUAGUCCCAGCUGUAAACGAUGCGCGUUAGGUGUAUCGGUGACCACGAGUCAUCGAGGUGCCGAAGGGAAACCGUGAAACGUGCCGCCUGUGAAGUACGGUCGCAAGGCUGAAACUUAAAGGAAUUGGCGGGGGAGCAC
This 789-nucleotide ribosomal RNA is filed under the name uncultured Methanolinea sp. RNAcentral's name for it is "bacterial SSU rRNA". It matches the Rfam family "Archaeal small subunit ribosomal RNA", at positions 85 to 879 of the family's 1478-position model. Lineage: Archaea; Methanobacteriati; Methanobacteriota; Methanomicrobia; Methanomicrobiales; Methanoregulaceae. The record is from RNAcentral.